This 253-nucleotide ribosomal RNA is filed under the name Anatilimnocola sp. RNAcentral's name for it is "partial 16S ribosomal RNA". It matches the Rfam family "Bacterial small subunit ribosomal RNA", at positions 524 to 776 of the family's 1533-position model. RNAcentral also lists the same sequence under 1 other name. The record is from RNAcentral. Lineage: Bacteria; Pseudomonadati; Planctomycetota; Planctomycetia; Pirellulales; Pirellulaceae.
UACGAGAGGCCCAAACGUUAUUCGGAUUUACUGGGCUUAAAGAGUUCGUAGGCGGUCUAGCAAGUGAGGUGUGAAAGCCCUCGGCUCAACCGAGGAAUUGCGCUUCAAACUGCUAGGCUCGAGGGAGAUAGAGGUGAGCGGAACUGAUGGUGGAGCGGUGAAAUGCGUUGAUAUCAUCAGGAACACCAGAGGCGAAGGCGGCUCACUGGGUCUUUUCUGACGCUGAGGAACGAAAGCUAGGGGAGCAAACGGG